Molecule: small nuclear RNA, 106 nt
Filed under: Salvator merianae (Argentine black and white tegu)
Lineage: Eukaryota; Metazoa; Chordata; Lepidosauria; Squamata; Teiidae
Source: RNAcentral
GUGCUUGCUUUGGCAGUACGUAUACUAAAAUUGGAAUAAUAAAGAGAAGAAUAACAUGGCCUUCUGCAAGGAUUACACACACGUUUGUGAAGCGUUCCAUAUUUUU